Molecule: ribosomal RNA, 508 nt
Filed under: uncultured bacterium
Lineage: Bacteria
Description: partial 16S ribosomal RNA
Rfam family: Bacterial small subunit ribosomal RNA
Source: RNAcentral
GAUGAACGCUAGCUACAGGCUUAACACAUGCAAGUCGAGGGGAAACGACAUUGGAAGCUUGCUUCCGAUGGGCGUCGACCGGCGCACGGGUGAGUAACGCGUAUCCAACCUGCCCAUCACUUGGGGAUAACCUUGCGAAUGUAAGACUAAUACCCAAUGAUAUCUCUAGAAGACAUCUGAAAGGGAUUAAAGAUUUAUCGGGGAUGGAUGGGGAUGCGUCUGAUUAGCUUGUUGGCGGGGUAACGGCCCACCAAGGCGACGAUCAGUAGGGGUUCUGAGAGGAAGGUCCCCCACAUUGGAACUGAGACACGGUCCAAACUCCUACGGGAGGCAGCAGUGAGGAAUAUUGGUCAAUGGGCGAGAGCCUGAACCAGCCAAGUAGCGUGCAGGAUGACGGCCCUAUGGGUUGUAAACUGCUUUUAUAAGGGAAUAAAGUGAGUCUCGUGAGACUUUUUGCAUGUACCUUAUGAAUAAGGACCGGCUAAUUCCGUGCCAGCAGCCGCAGUAA